UGAAGUCAAAGACAUCGAGGCAGGGGUUCUGCAAGGAAGCGUCUUAGGACCGAUACUAUACACACUAUACACGGCCAACAUACCAACAACUACCAAUAGCAAAAUACUGAGAUUCGCGGACGACACAGCUGUACUAGUCAGGAACACUAACCCAGAAACAGCAGUCAAAUUACUACGAGAACAUAUCACAAAAAUAGAAAAUGGCUGCAAGAUAAACAAAUAAAAGCAAACCCCGAUAAAUGCAACCAUAUUACAUUCGCACUGCGAAAACAGACACCACCAAACAUCGUACUGAACGGCACGCACAUACCGCGAACAAGGCAAAUCAAAUACCUAGGACUCCACCUAGAAACACAACUCACAUAGAAACGACGUACUAAAUCAAUAAUAGACAAAAUACAGACGACAGGGAGACAAAUGCAUUGGCUAGCAAGUGGAAAAUCCAAAUUAAGCAUAGAAAAUAAAUUAAAAAUAUGCAAAACGAU
Long non-coding RNA from Bombus impatiens (common eastern bumble bee), 485 nucleotides. RefSeq lists it as uncharacterized. The record is from RefSeq and is a predicted model, not a curated record. The transcript has 2 exons. Lineage: Eukaryota; Metazoa; Arthropoda; Insecta; Hymenoptera; Apidae.